AGGAAGCAUGCGUGAGCCAGCACACCGUGAGGCCUGAGUGAGGUCUUUCAGAAGUCUGGGAAGGGGGAAGGUGAAGCUCGUAGCCGCAGCACCCUGGACCUCGUGGAGCCCCUCCUUAGAGGUUGUCAAGAUAGCUGCAACUGCCCACAGACAAGGGGGCCAUCCUUGUGUUGUUUGAUCAAACCUUUUGGAAAGUGAGCUUCAUAAUUCCUUGUUCAUAGAAGGACCUGUCU
This is a long non-coding RNA of Hipposideros armiger (great roundleaf bat), 233 nucleotides long. RefSeq lists it as uncharacterized. The record is from RefSeq and is a predicted model, not a curated record. NCBI's taxonomy places the organism in Eukaryota, Metazoa, Chordata, Mammalia, Chiroptera, Hipposideridae. The transcript has 3 exons.